Long non-coding RNA from Haplochromis burtoni (Burton's mouthbrooder), 1115 nucleotides. RefSeq lists it as uncharacterized. The record is from RefSeq and is a predicted model, not a curated record. Lineage: Eukaryota; Metazoa; Chordata; Actinopteri; Cichliformes; Cichlidae. The transcript is spliced from 2 exons.
AAGAGGAAAUGGAUUCUGUUCUGUUCUUCACUCAUCACCUACCUGACAGCUGACACCUCACACCUGUUUCUCACCUGCAGGUCAGACAGGAGGACUGACCGUCGGUCUGACAGUUUCUGCAGUACUUCUUCUUCUUCUUGUUGCUGUUGGUUUCCUGAUCUACAGAGGAUGUAAACUGAAUCCUGCUAAACCUCAUGAAGCAGAGGAUCUUCAGCCUGAAUACAAAACCAUCACAGCUGAGUCUGGACAGGACGUCACUCUGACAUGUCGAGCUGUAAAUAAUGAGUCAGAGAAAAUGAACCAGCAGCUUCAUCAGGUUGAUCCAACAUACACUGAAACAUCUCUCUCAGUCUGAUCCUCUCUGAGUCUCAGUCACUCACUGUAAAUGACCUCAUCAAUAUUUUUCUUCAUAAACUGGUUCAUACGUGCAUAUUAUUCUGUUAUAGCUUGGACACAGCUAAUGUUUUUAUUUGGAAAGGUGUAGAACGACCAGGUGUCAAACAUCAGUCGAUGUAAACUACACAGCAGCACAAGCUCCAACGUACAGAGAGAAGGUUUGCUCAACGGUUAAGAAAUGGGGAAAAGUUAGUAGGUGUAGUUCUAAGUUGCAAAUAGUUCCCUAGCACCUGGUUGAUGAGGGAACAAGGUUGGUAUCAAAGUUUGUUGUGUAAAUGUGUAGUUUGUUAUUUCACAGAGCAUAAAGCUGCUGACUGCUACUGAGUGUAACGGUUACGUUUUCACCCACUAGAGGGCGGUCACGCACCUCGGUCAAUUUUUCAUGUUUAGUCAGCUAUGAAAAGGUUUACAAGAUUCACUGUUAUAUGCUUUUUAAGGUCAAAGACAAUUGUAAUCGUAAUUUUAUCUCAGGGUAUAGAAAAGGUAAGAGGCUAAAUGUUAGAAGGGUUGAAUAAAUAUACACGGCAAAAGCGCUCGAUGUAGAAACUCAAGGGCCUUAAAGGUGUAAUCAUUUAAAGUAAUGAAUUCAUUUAUGAUUAAUAAAUAAGGAAAAGGGUUAAAGGUUUGAGUUACCAAUGGUAAUUUUAUUGUGUACAUUUUGUAGCUUUUACGGUGUGAUCACAUUCAAGGUUGUUCAAUAAAAGGAUUUUGGACCAUCA